This 508-nucleotide ribosomal RNA is filed under the name uncultured bacterium. RNAcentral describes it as "partial 16S ribosomal RNA". It matches the Rfam family "Bacterial small subunit ribosomal RNA", at positions 28 to 507 of the family's 1533-position model. The record is from RNAcentral.
GACGAACGCUGGCGGCGUGCCUAAUACAUGCAAGUCGAGCGCAGGAAGUCAUCCGAACCCUUCGGGGGGACGUUGACGGACUGAGCGGCGGACGGGUGAGUAACACGUAAAGAACCUGCCCUCAGGUCUGGGAUAACCACGAGAAAUCGGGGCUAAUACCGGAUGGGUCAUCGGACCGCAUGGUCCGAGGAUGAAAGGCGCUCCGGCGUCGCCUGGGGAUGGCUUUGCGGUGCAUUAGCUAGGUGGUGGGGUAAUGGCCCACCAAGGCGACGAUGCAUAGCCGACCGGAGAGGGUGAUCGGCCACACUGGGACUGAGCCACGGCCCAGACUACUACGGGAGGGAGCAGUAGGGAAUCUUCCACAAUGGACGAAAGUCUGAUGGAGCAACGCCGCGUGAACGAUGAAGGCCCUCGGGUCGUAAAGUUCUGUUGUAAGGGAAGAACAAGUGCCGCAGGCAAUGGCGGCACCUUGACGGUACCUUGCGAGAAAGCCACGGCUAACUACGUG